This 880-nucleotide ribosomal RNA is filed under the name uncultured crenarchaeote. RNAcentral describes it as "bacterial SSU rRNA". It matches the Rfam family "Archaeal small subunit ribosomal RNA", at positions 1 to 859 of the family's 1478-position model. The record is from RNAcentral. Lineage: Archaea; Thermoproteati; Thermoproteota.
UUUCCGGUUGAUCCUGCCGGACCCCACUGCUAUCGGGGUGGGACUAAGACAUGCAAGUCGGCGCCCAGGGCCAUGGCUGGGCGCGGCGCACGGCUCAGUAACACGUGGCCAACCUACCCUCGGGACGGGGAUAACCCCGGGAAACUGGGGCUAACCCCCGAUAGGAGAGGUGUGCCUGGAAGUGGUCCCUCUCCGAAAGGGUGCUGGGGCCAUCCCCAGCGCCGCCCGAGGAUGGGGCUGCGGCCCAUCAGGUAGUUGGUGGGGUAACGGCCCACCAAGCCUGAGACGGGUACGGGCCGUGAGAGCGGGAGCCCGGAGAUGGGCACUGAGACAAGGGCCCAGGCCCUAUGGGGCGCAGCAGUCGCGAAACCUCCGCAAUGCGCGAAAGCGCGACGGGGCCACCCCGAGUGCCACCCGCUGAGGGUGGCUUUUCCCCGGUCCAAAAGGCCGGGGGUAAUAAGGGGAGGGCAAGUUUGGUGUCAGCCGCCGCGGUAAUACCAACUCCCCGAGUGGUCGGGAUGUUUACUGGGCUUAAAGCGCCCGUAGCCGGCCCGGUAAGUCCCCCGUUAAAUCCGGCGUCCCAAGCGCCGGGCUGCGGGGGAUACUGCCGGGCUUGGGAGCGGGAGAGGCCGGCGGUACUCCCGGGGGAGGGGUAAAAUCCUUAGAUCCCGGGAGGACCAUCAGUGGCGAAGGCGGCCGGCUAGAACGCGUCCGACGGUGAGGGGCGAAAGCUGGGGGAGCGAUCCGGAUUAGAUACCCGGGUAGUCCCAGCUGUAAACGAUGCAGGCUAGGUGUGGGGGCGGCUACGGGCCGCCCCUGUGCCGUAGGGAAACCGUUAAGCCUGCCGCCUGGGGAGUACGGCCGCAAGGCUGAAACUUAA